UACGUAGGGAGCAAGCGUUGUCCGGAAUUACUGGGCGUAAAGGGCGCGUAGGCGGGAAUUUAAGUUAGAUGUGAAAACUCUGGGCUCAACCCGGGGACUGCAUUUAAAACUGGAUUUCUUGAGGGCAGGAGAGGAAAGUGGAAUUCCUAGUGUAGCGGUGAAAUGCGUAGAUAUUAGGAGGAACAUCAGUGGCGAAGGCGACUUUCUGGACUGUACCUGACGUUGAUGCGCGAAAGCGUGGGGAGCAAACGGG
RNAcentral lists this ribosomal RNA (253 nucleotides) under uncultured bacterium. RNAcentral's name for it is "partial 16S ribosomal RNA". It matches the Rfam family "Bacterial small subunit ribosomal RNA", at positions 524 to 776 of the family's 1533-position model. The record is from RNAcentral.